GGUUAAGCGAAUAAGCGUACACGGUGGAUGCCUAGGCAAUCAGAGGCGAUGAAGGACGUGCUAAUCUGCGAUAAGCGUCGGUAAGGUGAUAUGAACCGUUAUACCCGACGAUUUCCGAAUGGGGAAACCCAAUAUCCAAUGGAUAUUAUCAUUAACUGAAUACAUAGGUUAAUGAAGCGAACCGGGAGAACUGAAACAUCUCAGUACCCCGAGGAAAAGAAAUCAACCGAGAUUCCCCUAGUAGCGGCGAGCGAACGGGGAACAGCCCAGAGUCUUAAUCAAUAGCAGCAUCAGGAGAACGGUCUGGAAAGUCCGGCAGUAAAGGGUGAUAGCCCCGUAUCUGAAGAUGCUGUUAUUGUGAACUCGACGAGUAGGGCGGGACACGUGUUAUCCUGUCUGAAUAUGGGGGGACCAUCCUCCAAGGCUAAAUACUCCUGAUUGACCGAUAGUGAACCAGUACCGUGAGGGAAAGGCGAAAAGAACCCCGGCGAGGGGAGUGAAAAAGAACCUGAAACCGUGUACGUACAAGCAGUAGGAGCCUCUUUAUGGGGUGACUGCGUACCUUUUGUAUAAUGGGUCAGCGACUUAUAUUCUGUAGCAAGGUUAACCGUAUAGGGGAGCCGUAGGGAAACCGAGUCUUAACUGGGCGAAUGAGUUGCAGGGUAUAGACCCGAAACCCGGUGAUCUAUCCAUGGGCAGGUUGAAGGUUGGGUAACACUAACUGGAGGACCGAACCGACUAAUGUUGAAAAAUUAGCGGAUGACUUGUGGAUGGGGGUGAAAGGCCAAUCAAACCGGGAGAUAGCUGGUUCUCCCCGAAAGCUAUUUAGGUAGCGCCUCGUGAACUCAUCUUCGGGGGUAGAGCACUGUUUCGACUAGGGGGUCAUCCCGACUUACCAACUCGAUGCAAACUGCGAAUACCGAAGAAUGUUAUCACGGGAGACACACGGCGGGUGCUAACGUCCGUCGUGAAGAGGGAAACAACCCAGACCGCCAGCUAAGGUCCCAAAGUCAUGGUUAAGUGGGAAACGAAGUGGGAAGGCUCAGACAGCCAGGAUGUUGGCUUAGAAGCAGCCAUCAUUUAAAGAAAGCGUAAUAGCUCACUGGUCGAGUCGGCCCGCGCGGAAGAUGUAACGGGGCUAAACCAUGCACCGAAGCUGCGGCAGCGACACUAUGUGUUGUUGGGUAGGGGAGCGUUCUGUAAGCCUGCGAAGGUGUACUGUGAGGUAUGCUGGAGGUAUCAGAAGUGCGAAUGCUGACAUAAGUAACGAUAAUGCGGGUGAAAAACCCGCACGCCGGAAGACCAAGGGUUCCUGUCCAACGUUAAUCGGGGCAGGGUGAGUCGACCCCUAAGGCGAGGCUGAAAAGCGUAGUCGAUGGGAAACGGGUUAAUAUUCCCGUACUGGUGGUAACUGCGAUGGGGGAACGGAGAAGGCUAGGUUGUCCGGGCGACGGUCGUCCCGGUUCAAGCAUGUAGGCAGAGUGAUUAGGCAAAUCCGGUCACUUAAUGCUGAGGUGUGAUGACGAGCCACUAAGGUGGUGAAGCAAUUGAUGCCCUGCUUCCAGGAAAAGCCUCUAAGCUUCAGGUUACCAACAAUCGUACCCCAAACCGACACAGGUGGUCAGGUAGAGAAUACUCAGGCGCUUGAGAGAACUCGGGUGAAGGAACUAGGCAAAAUGGUGCCGUAACUUCGGGAGAAGGCACGCUGGCGGUAAGUGAAGUCCCUUGCGGACGGAGCCGAAGCCAGUCGAAGAUACCAGCUGGCUGCAACUGUUUAUUAAAAACACAGCACUGUGCAAACACGAAAGUGGACGUAUACGGUGUGACGCCUGCCCGGUGCUGGAAGGUUAAUUGAUGGGGUUAUCCUUAGGGAGAAGCUCUUGAUCGAAGCCCCAGUAAACGGCGGCCGUAACUAUAACGGUCCUAAGGUAGCGAAAUUCCUUGUCGGGUAAGUUCCGACCUGCACGAAUGGCGUAAUGAUGGCCAGGCUGUCUCCACCCGAGACUCAGUGAAAUUGAACUCGCUGUGAAGAUGCAGUGUACCCGCGGCAAGACGGAAAGACCCCGUGAACCUUUACUAUAGCUUGACACUGAACAUUGAGCCUUGAUGUGUAGGAUAGGUGGGAGACUUAGAAGUGUGGACGCCAGUCUGCAUGGAGUCAACCUUGAAAUACCACCCUUUAACGUUUGAUGUUCUAACCUAGGUCCAUAAUCUGGAUCGGGGACCGUGUCUGGUGGGUAGUUUGACUGGGGCGGUCUCCUCCUAAAGAGUAACGGAGGAGCACGAAGGUUGGCUAAGCAUGGUCGGACAUCAUGCGGUUAGUGCAAAGGCAUAAGCCAGCUUGACUGUGAGAGUGACGGCUCGAGCAGGUACGAAAGUAGGUCUUAGUGAUCCGGUGGUUCUGAAUGGAAGGGCCAUCGCUCAACGGAUAAAAGGUACUCCGGGGAUAACAGGCUGAUACCGCCCAAGAGUUCAUAUCGACGGCGGUGUUUGGCACCUCGAUGUCGGCUCAUCACAUCCUGGGGCUGAAGUAGGUCCCAAGGGUAUGGCUGUUCGCCAUUUAAAGUGGUACGCGAGCUGGGUUUAGAACGUCGUGAGACAGUUCGGUCCCUAUCUGCCGUGGGCGUUGGAAGAUUGAGAGGGGUUGCUCCUAGUACGAGAGGACCGGAGUGAACGCACCACUGGUGUUCGGGUUGUCAUGCCAAUGGCAUUGCCCGGUAGCUAAGUGCGGAAGAGAUAACCGCUGAAAGCAUCUAAGCGGGAAACUUGCCUCGAGAUGAGUCUUCCCUGUCACCUAGAGUGACCUAAAGGAACGUUUAAGACUAAGACGUUGAUAGGCUGGGUGUGUAAGCGUAGCGAUACGUUGAGCUAACCAGUACUAAUGAACCGUGAGGCUUAACCUG
Molecule: ribosomal RNA, 2903 nt
Filed under: Proteus mirabilis
Lineage: Bacteria; Pseudomonadati; Pseudomonadota; Gammaproteobacteria; Enterobacterales; Morganellaceae
Description: 23S ribosomal RNA
Rfam family: Bacterial large subunit ribosomal RNA
Source: RNAcentral